GAUGAACGCUAGCGGCAGGCUUAACACAUGCAAGUCGAGGGGUAUAGAGAGCUUGCUUUCUAGAGACCGGCGCACGGGUGCGUAACGCGUAUGCAAUCUACCUUUCACAAAGGGAUAGCCCAGAGAAAUUUGGAUUAAUACCUCAUAGUAUUAUAGAAUGGCAUCAUUUUAUAAUUAAAGAUUUAUCGGUGAAAGAUGAGCAUGCGUCCCAUUAGUUAGUUGGUAAGGUAACGGCUUACCAAGACUACGAUGGGUAGGGGUCCUGAGAGGGAGAUCCCCCACACUGGUACUGAGACACGGACCAGACUCCUACGGGAGGCAGCAGUGAGGAAUAUUGGACAAUGGGCGCAAGCCUGAUCCAGCCAUGCCGCGUGCAGGAUGACGGUCCUAUGGAUUGUAAACUGCUUUUAUACAGGAAGAAACCCUCCGACGUGUCGGAGCUUGACGGUACUGUAAGAAUAAGGAUCGGCUAACUCCGUGCCAGCAGCCGAC
This 492-nucleotide ribosomal RNA is filed under the name uncultured bacterium. RNAcentral's name for it is "bacterial SSU rRNA". It matches the Rfam family "Bacterial small subunit ribosomal RNA", at positions 28 to 518 of the family's 1533-position model. The record is from RNAcentral.